GCAGUCGAGCGGAACGAGAUAUCUGAACCUUCGGGGAACGAUAACGGCGUCGAGCGGCGGACGGGUGAGUAAUGCCUAGGAAAUUGCCCUGAUGUGGGGGAUAACCAUUGGAAACGAUGGCUAAUACCGCAUGAUGCCUACGGGCCAAAGAGGGGGACCUUCGGGCCUCUCGCGUCAGGAUAUGCCUAGGUGGGAUUAGCUAGUUGGUGAGGUAAGGGCUCACCAAGGCGACGAUCCCUAGCUGGUCUGAGAGGAUGAUCAGCCACACUGGAACUGAGACACGGUCCAGACUCCUACGGGAGGCAGCAGUGGGGAAUAUUGCACAAUGGGCGCAAGCCUGAUGCAGCCAUGCCGCGUGUGUGAAGAAGGCCUUCGGGUUGUAAAGCACUUUCAGUCGUGAGGAAGGUAGUGUAGUUAAUAGCUGCAUUAUUUGACGUUAGCGACAGAAGAAGCACCGGCUAACUCCGUGCCAGCAGCCGCGGUAAUACGGAGGGUGCGAGCGUUAAUCGGAAUUACUGGGCGUAAAGCGCAUGCAGGUGGUUUGUUAAGUCAGAUGUGAAAGCCCGGGGCUCAACCUCGGAAUUGCAUUUGAAACUGGCAGACUAGAGUACUGUAGAGGGGGGGUAGAAUUUCAGGUGUAGCGGUGAAAUGCGUAGAGAUCUGAAGGAAUACCGGUGGCGAAGGCGGCCCCCUGGGACAGAUACUGACACUCAGAUGCGAAAGCGUGGGGAGCAAACAGGAUUAGAUACCCUGGUAGUCCACGCCGUAAACGAUGUCUACUUGGAGGUUGUGGCCUUGAGCCGUGGCUUUCGGAGCUAACGCGUUAAGUAGACCGCCUGGGGGAGUACGGUCGCAAGAUUAAAACUCAAAUGAAUUGACGGGGGCCCGCACAAGCGGUGGAGCAUGGUGGUUUAAUUCGAUGCAACGCGAAGAACCUUACCUACUCUUGACAUCCAGAGAACUUUCCAGAAGAUGGAUUGGUGCCUUCGGGAACUCUGAGACAGGUGCUGCAUGGCUGUCGUCAGCUCGUGUUGUGAAAUGUUGGGUUAAGUCCCGCAACGAGCGCAACCCUUAUCCUUGUUUGCCAGCGAGUAAUGUCGGGAACUCCAGGGAGACUGCCGGUGAUAAACCGGAGGAAGGUGGGGACGACGUCAAGUCAUCAUGGCCCUUACGAGUAGGGCUACACACGUGCUACAAUGGCGCAUACAGAGGGCGGCCAACUUGCGAAAGUGAGCGAAUCCCAAAAAGUGCGUCGUAGUCCGGAUUGGAGUCUGCAACUCGACUCCAUGAAGUCGGAAUCGCUAGUAAUCGUGGAUCAGAAUGCCACGGUGAAUACGUUCCCGGGCCUUGUACACACCGCCCGUCACACCAUGGGAGUGGGCUGCAAAAGAAGUAGGUAGUUUAACUUCGGGGGACGC
RNAcentral lists this ribosomal RNA (1418 nucleotides) under Vibrio parahaemolyticus. Its description in RNAcentral is "bacterial SSU rRNA". It matches the Rfam family "Bacterial small subunit ribosomal RNA". Lineage: Bacteria; Pseudomonadati; Pseudomonadota; Gammaproteobacteria; Vibrionales; Vibrionaceae. The record is from RNAcentral.